Molecule: transfer RNA, 74 nt
Filed under: Amycolatopsis suaedae
Lineage: Bacteria; Bacillati; Actinomycetota; Actinomycetes; Pseudonocardiales; Pseudonocardiaceae
Rfam family: tRNA
About the family: Transfer RNA (tRNA) molecules are approximately 80 nucleotides in length. Their secondary structure includes four short double-helical elements and three loops (D, anti-codon, and T loops).
Source: Rfam by way of RNAcentral
GCCCCGGUAGCCCAACUGGCAGAGGCAGUCGGCUUAAAACCGACCCAGUGCGGGUUCGAUCCCCGUCCGGGGCA